Molecule: ribosomal RNA, 734 nt
Filed under: uncultured Methanomicrobiaceae archaeon
Lineage: Archaea; Methanobacteriati; Methanobacteriota; Methanomicrobia; Methanomicrobiales; Methanomicrobiaceae
Description: bacterial SSU rRNA
Rfam family: Archaeal small subunit ribosomal RNA
Source: RNAcentral
UACACGUGGACAAUCUACCCUAAGGUGGGGGAUAACCCCGGGAAACUGGGGAUAAUACCCCAUAGACUAUGGAUGCUGGAAUGCUCUGUAGUCGAAAGGUCAGCCGCCUUAGGAUGGGUCUGCGGCCGAUUAGGUAGUUGUUGGGGUAACGGCCCAACAAGCCUGUAAUCGGUACGGGUUGUGGGAGCAAGAGCCCGGAGAUGGAUUCUGAGACACGAAUCCAGGCCCUACGGGGCGCAGCAGGCGCGAAAACUUUACAAUGCGGGAAACCGUGAUAAGGGAACUCCGAGUGCCCGUUAAAUCGGGCUGUCCAUCUGCUUAAAACACAGGUGAAGAAAGGGCCGGGCAAGACCGGUGCCAGCCGCCGCGGUAAUACCGGCGGCUCGAGUGGUGGCCACUAUUACUGGGCUUAAAGCGUUCGUAGCUGGUUUGUUAAGUCUCUGGGGAAAUCUUCCGGCUUAACCGGAAGGCGUCUCAGGGAUACUGGCAGACUAGGGACCGGAAGAGGUGAGGGGUACUCCAGGGGUAGGAGUGAAAUCCUGUAAUCCUUGGGGGACCACCUGUGGCGAAGGCGCCUCACCAGGACGGCUCCGACAGUGAGGGACAAAAGCUGGGGGAGCAAAUCGGAUUAGAUACCCGGGUAGUCCCAGCCGUAAACGAUGUGCGUUAGGUGUAUCGGUGACCACGAGUCACCGAGGUGCCGAAGAGAAAUCGUGAAACGUACCGCCUGGAAG